GGAGCUGCAGCUCACUUGUUAAAGCACUUGCCUAGCACGCAUGAGGCCCUGGGUUCAAUCCCCAGCAUUGCCA
This 73-nucleotide transfer RNA is filed under the name Mesocricetus auratus (golden hamster). It matches the Rfam family "tRNA". From Rfam's summary of the family: Transfer RNA (tRNA) molecules are approximately 80 nucleotides in length. The record is from Rfam by way of RNAcentral. Lineage: Eukaryota; Metazoa; Chordata; Mammalia; Rodentia; Cricetidae.